Molecule: long non-coding RNA, 1938 nt
Organism: Macaca fascicularis (crab-eating macaque)
Lineage: Eukaryota; Metazoa; Chordata; Mammalia; Primates; Cercopithecidae
Source: Ensembl
UUGGGAUGCGGGCUCUGCAGACGCCCCGGCGAACAGCUCUACCUGGGGGCUGUCCCUGCCCCACUUAGUCCAAGGGCCUUGGUGUGGGGACCUCCGCUGUCAAGGCGGGGGCACCGGUUCUCUCGGUUUCUCUCUCCUUCCCCAGCGGCUUCAUCGCAGACGUGAGCCCGAGCCGGGCCCGCCCCGCCCCCUGCUCUCCGGCUCUCACGCCGCCCCCCGAGAAAGGCUGCCCACCUGCCCUGGGACCCCUACAGUGCCCCCACGAGAGUGGCCCCUGGAGAAUGCGCUCCGAGACAGUGACUAUCCGUGCGGAGUCCCCGAGCAGGGGCCCCCAAAGCUCUCCGGAGUGGUCACAAGCCCCACUCCCGCCCCGACUCCAGUGUGUCAGGGAUGGGGGAGAGCCUAACUAAAUCUGCCUGCGCCCCUCCACCAAAGCCACGAGUCGGUGGUCUUCUCCGGAAGUGCAUGGCCCCUCCAGACUCCCACACUGACCACACCUCCUCCUGCCUCCUAAGGUGACCCGGACCAGGGGCCAGGAGACCGCCGCUGGCCGAGGCUGAGGAACCGAAGAAGCAGGGUCCAACCAGGGCCCCGGAGGGCUCCUUCGCCACUUUCUCAAGCGUUCCUCGACGAGGAAAAAGUGUAAACUGAGUCACUAAGCACACUGGGCCCCGGAGGCGGGGUAAUCAAGCUGCCCAGACUGGACCAACAAACCCCAAGGAGGACACUGCCCCGGCGCCCCUUCCCCCUGGACCCCGCAGUGCACUCACGUCGGCUGGGCGGGCCUCAGGGAGCCCAAGGGCCGGGUGGGCGGAGCCCGCAGGUUAGGCCCCUACCAUCGCCCUGGGCCGGGCUUCCAGGGGCGAAGCCAGAGAGGCUGCGCGGAACCGGAGCCGGCAACGCGAGCGAAGAGGGACAGAGACGCUCAAGAGUAUUGUCACCGAUACCCAAAGCAGCUGUGUCUGGGCGGGGCGAGGAGGAGCCUGAAUGCCUCUGCUGGGGACCUUGGGGGGCACGGGGAAGACGAGGCCCGGAGCCGAAGGUCGGGGCCCGGAGCCGGGAAGGCUGCUUCUGGUCGCUGGCUUAGCUCAAGGAGGGUGGGGCCGCCCCUGCCCCGCCUUCCCACUUCUCCCCUCCCCUGGGGAUUUGCUGUCCCGGAGUCCCUGCGUCCCUCCCGCGCGCGGCUCUGGGAAUGCUGGGCUGAGGCUAGUUGUCUGGUCCGGGCGUUCCCGUUCGCGGGGAGGUCAUUUGCACCCUGAAUCACCCACUGCUACCGGACUGCAGACCCGCCUGCUCCGGGCCCACCUCCCACACCAGGGCCUUUCCCCGCACAGCUCGGCCGGGCCUGGAAAAACUCCGAGAGGGAUUCCCAGCGCAGGAACGCCCACCGGGCGCAGUGUCUCGGGCUGGAUAAGAAGGGGACCCGGCCACGGCUCCUUCCCCGACAUGGGGGAACAGAGAGAAGGGAAGGGAUUGGGGGCGGGGGUGCCAGGAGGAUCCCUGGAGCGCGAGAGAGCACCCGUAGCCAGCAGGUCUCCUGCGUCCACCGCCUACGUGACGCAAGAUAUAGCGGCGUCAACGCCUGAGUCGGCGCUGGGGGCCUCGGCCUGCUCCCCUCCCAUCCCCCAGUGGAGGGUAGCCCUUCGCCUACCUUCUCCUUCCGGUGGGAUGCGGCCCGUGCAGCUCCCGCGCCAGUGCGGAGUCAAGGGGAGCAGGCGCGCAGAGCUCCCAGGCGCGCAUGGGCUCGGCAUCCCGCGCUCCCUCCUCCACCGCGCGGCUCCCGCGCUGCCAGGUUUCCUGUAUAACGGUAUAACCAGGGAGGCACCGGCGGAGAGCGCCCGACAGAACUUCCUCCCGGACUGGGGCUGGGCUGCGGUUGCGAGAAACAAUCCCCGGCGUCCUGGCUUUCUGUCCCCUCUGGGCCGGGCCAGUGCAUGA